GAUGAACGCUGGCGGCAUGCCUAACACAUGCAAGUCGAUCGGUAAGGCUCUUCGGAGUACACGAGAGGCGGACGGCUGAGUAACGCGUAGGAACACACCCUGCAGUGAGGGAUAAGACACCGAAAGAGGUUCUAAUACCGCAUACGGUCUUCGGAUUAAAGCAGUUAUGCGGUGAAGGAGUGGCCUGCGUCAUAUUGGAUAGUGGGUGAGGUAAUGGCUCACCAAGUCGAUGAUGUGUAGCUGGUCUGAGAGGAUGAUCAGCCAGACUGGAACUGAGACACGGUCCAGACUCCUACGGAAGGCAGCAGUGAGGAAUAUUACACAAUGAGCGAAAGCUUGAUGGAGCAAUGCCGCGUGCAGGAUGAAGGCCCUCGGGUUGUAAACUGCUUUUAUAAGAGAAGAUUAUGACGGUAACUUAUGAAUAAGGGACGGCUAACUACGUG
RNAcentral lists this ribosomal RNA (443 nucleotides) under uncultured bacterium. RNAcentral's name for it is "partial 16S ribosomal RNA". It matches the Rfam family "Bacterial small subunit ribosomal RNA", at positions 28 to 507 of the family's 1533-position model. The record is from RNAcentral.